Molecule: ribosomal RNA, 429 nt
Filed under: Bacteroidota bacterium
Lineage: Bacteria; Pseudomonadati; Bacteroidota
Description: Bacteroidetes bacterium partial 16S ribosomal RNA
Rfam family: Bacterial small subunit ribosomal RNA
Source: RNAcentral
UAGGGAAUCUUCCGCAAUGGACGCAAGUCUGACGGAGCAACGCCGCGUGAGUGAAGAAGGAUUUCGGUUCGUAAAACUCUGUUGUUAGAGAAGAACAGCGCAUAGAGUAACUGUUAUGCGUGUGACGGUAUCUAACCAGAAAGCCACGGCUAACUACGUGCCAGCAGCCGCGGUAAUACGUAGGUGGCAAGCGUUGUCCGGAUUUAUUGGGCGUAAAGCGAGCGCAGGCGGUCAAUUAAGUCUGAUGUGAAAGCCCCCGGCUCAACCGGGGAGGGUCAUUGGAAACUGGUUGACUUGAGUGCAGAAGAGGAGAGUGGAAUUCCAUGUGUAGCGGUGAAAUGCGUAGAUAUAUGGAGGAACACCAGUGGCGAAGGCGUCUCUCUGGUCUGUAACCGACGCUGAGGUUCGAAAGCGUGGGUAGCAAACAGG